GGAGCUUGCAAGAGCUGGCAAUGAAUCAGCAGCCAGUCAAGCAUAUAAUAUAUGGCAGCACCGAAAUCCUGACUGGAGUCGAGUUUGUGGAGCAGCUUUCGCUUUUGGGGCAGAAGAUGGGACUUGGGAAUGUUGCUGCUGCUGCCCCUCCUCCUUCAGGUCGUUAACUGAACUCCCUUCUGUAGAAUUUCUUUGUCCAUUG
RNAcentral lists this unclassified non-coding RNA (202 nucleotides) under Hevea brasiliensis (rubber tree). The record is from RNAcentral. Lineage: Eukaryota; Viridiplantae; Streptophyta; Magnoliopsida; Malpighiales; Euphorbiaceae.